This 236-nucleotide unclassified non-coding RNA is filed under the name Hevea brasiliensis (rubber tree). Lineage: Eukaryota; Viridiplantae; Streptophyta; Magnoliopsida; Malpighiales; Euphorbiaceae. The record is from RNAcentral.
CAUCAGUUGCCCCAAUAUGGAUAGAUGAAGAACUAAGAACUGCAGCUGAAUUAGAUUCAAUAGCAUCAGAAGAUAUAUCCAAUGUCCGAGAGGCUGCUUCAAAUCCUAUAUUGCCUGGAGUAGAUAAGUAGCCUGCAUUAUGUUGUUCCGAACCUGAACCAAAUGCACUAGCCAGACCAGUAGCACCAGAAGAAGACGAUAAGCCUGUAGGAAUAGAAUGUGAGCUCUGGCUAGAU